This 425-nucleotide ribosomal RNA is filed under the name uncultured bacterium. RNAcentral describes it as "partial 16S ribosomal RNA". It matches the Rfam family "Bacterial small subunit ribosomal RNA", at positions 354 to 796 of the family's 1533-position model. The record is from RNAcentral.
GUGGGGAAUCUUGCGCAAUGGGCGAAAGCCUGACGCAGCCAUGCCGCGUGAAUGAUGAAGGUCUUCGGAUCGUAAACUUCUAUCCUUGGUGAAGAUAAUGACGGUAGCCGAGAAGGAAGCCCCGGCUAACUACGUGUCAGCAGCCGCGGUAAUACGUAGGGGGCAAGCGUUGUCCGGAAUGAUUGGGCGUAAAGGGCGCGUAGGCGGCCUGGUAAGUCUGGAGUGAAAGUCCUGCUUUUAAGGUGGGAAUUGCUUUGGAUACUGUCGGGCUUGAGUGCAGGAGAGGUAAGUGGAAUUCCCGGUGUAGCGGUGAAAUGCGUAGAGAUCGGGAGGAACACCAGUGGCGAAGGCGACUUACUGGACUGUAACUGACGCUGAGGCGCGAAAGUGUGGGGAGCAAACAGGAUUAGAUACCCGGGUAGUCC